AAAACGUUGUUAAAAUGUAGAAAGGAAUGUAUAGGGAAAUCAUUGGUGUAAAGCAAACGAGAAUUUCUUUGAACCUCAUCGCUCGUAAACAAAUUAUUUCUUCUUUGUUCGUUCUUAUUUUGUACAUUGAUCUUUACAAGAUACUGAUUUUAAUAAAGCAAGCAGUUAAAUUGUCACAUCAAAUUUCUAGCGUAUGAAAUGUGCACAUUGUCUGUAAUGUUUUGAAAUCCUUGUACACCAUUCCUUACAGAAACUUUUCUAGUUUAGGUUAAAGAUCCCCUAAUGACGUGCAAACACGUGAUUAUACCAGGGCAUCAGAACGAAUCAAGAGCAUCGAAGGGGAGGAAUUGUAGAAGAAUUUUGGUCUUUAUACAGGGUAAUUGCCAGCGCGACGCAGAAUUGUUAUCGUUUUCUUUAAAUUUAUCCCGUGAAAUAAGGCAGAGGGGAAGUUAUGGAAGCAAAUAUUAUUACCGAGAAGAUUAUUCCAGACAAGUAAAUCUCGCAGAUGAUGAUCAAAACAUUACCGCAUCCACUAUCGAUAUCGGAUAGAGGCAGUCAAUUAUGCCACCCAUUAAUGGCAAGGGUUUGCUGAUUUUUCUUCAAAAUAGUGGUUUCAAGCUUUUGAGGAUUACAUCAAGUUGGACGGCUUCUAAUACUCUUGGUCGUUAACAUUCUGCAGAUCAUGAGAGGGUCUCCAUAACAUCAAAGUGUUCUUUGUAUUUGUGAUCAAAAUACCCACAGUGUCUUCUAUAGGGUAUUGAGUGUGAUGACCAUUAGGGAGGGUAUUAAAAUAAUAUUUUAUAUAUUCUAGAUAAUGGUCAUCAUAGUUGUCGUAUUAGUGUAACUAUUGCUUCUUUAAUUAGAAGGCCUAGUUAGCUUUUCUGUUUUUAGCUUUUUAAGUGUAUUUAGCAUUUUAGUUUCAGUUAAACGGUUUGUUCUUUUUAGAACAUUGUCAUGUAAACCUCUAUAUAUACGAUUAUCUAAGUAAUUAAUUUUUCAAUUUGUAUAAAAUACAAAAUGC
Molecule: long non-coding RNA, 1021 nt
Organism: Cryptomeria japonica (Japanese cedar)
Lineage: Eukaryota; Viridiplantae; Streptophyta; Pinopsida; Cupressales; Cupressaceae
Exons: 3
Source: RefSeq, a predicted model, not a curated record